UAUGUGAUCGUCUCUCGCAUAUCAAUAAGCGGAGGAAAAGAAACUAAUAAGGAUUCCCCUAGUAACGGCGAGUGAAGCGGGAAGAGCUCAAAUUUGAAAUCUUAAAGGGUUUCCCUUUACGAAUUGUAGUUUAAAGAAGUGUUUUCUGUUGAGGUUUUGGUAAAAGUUCUUUGGAAUAGGACAUCAUAGAGGGUGAGAAUCCCGUAUUUGACCUUUACUUUCAACUUUGUGAUACACUUUCAAAGAGUCGGAUUGUUUGGGAAUGCGGUCCAAAAUGGGUGGUAAAUUUCAUCUAAAGCUAAAUAUUGGCGAGAGACCGAUAGCGAACAAGUACCGUGAGGGAAAGAUGAAAAGAACUUUGAAAAGAGAGUUAAACAGUACGUGAAAUUGUCAAAAGGGAAGCGUUUGACACCAGUGUUGUUUUUCUGAAAAUCAAUUAAAGAACUGUUUAUGCUAAGCUGUUUAGACUUUAUCAGCUAACUGUUUAGUUUUGAGCUUUUCUUUAAUGCACUUUUCAGUUAACAAGUCAACAUCAAUUUCUUUUGCUGUAAAAAAGCUUGAGGAAGGUGGCUUGAGAUUCGUCUUAAGUGUUUAUAGCCUCUUGCCUAUGCAGUCGGAGAGAUUGAGGUCUGCAGCGUAGAUCCUUCGGGGCUAAAUGCAUUUGUGCUAAGUUAUAGCAUUUUAUAGACAACUUGUUGACUAUGAUUUGUCUUGUAGCUUACUCGCUUAUGUUAUUUUACCUACGCUUAGGAUGUUGAACGCGCACAGAGUCUC
Molecule: ribosomal RNA, 774 nt
Filed under: uncultured Neocallimastigales
Lineage: Eukaryota; Fungi; Neocallimastigomycota; Neocallimastigomycetes; Neocallimastigales
Description: partial large subunit ribosomal RNA
Rfam family: Eukaryotic large subunit ribosomal RNA
Source: RNAcentral